This 728-nucleotide ribosomal RNA is filed under the name uncultured bacterium. Its description in RNAcentral is "bacterial SSU rRNA". It matches the Rfam family "Bacterial small subunit ribosomal RNA", at positions 771 to 1499 of the family's 1533-position model. The record is from RNAcentral.
AACCGGAUUAGAUACCCUGGUAGUCCACGCCGUAAACGAUGUCGACUUGGAGGCUGUUUCCUUGAGAAGUGGCUUCCGGAGCUAACGCGUUAAGUCGACCGCCUGGGGAGUACGGCCGCAAGGUUAAAACUCAAAUGAAUUGACGGGGGCCCGCACAAGCGGUGGAGCAUGUGGUUUAAUUCGAUGCAACGCGAAGAACCUUACCUACUCUUGACAUCCACGGAAUUUGGCAGAGAUGCCUUAGUGCCUUCGGGAACCGUGAGACAGGUGCUGCAUGGCUGUCGUCAGCUCGUGUUGUGAAAUGUUGGGUUAAGUCCCGCAACGAGCGCAACCCUUAUCCUUUGUUGCCAGCGAUUCGGUCGGGAACUCAAAGGAGACUGCCGGUGAUAAACCGGAGGAAGGUGGGGAUGACGUCAAGUCAUCAUGGCCCUUACGAGUAGGGCUACACACGUGCUACAAUGGCGCAUACAAAGAGAAGCGACCUCGCGAGAGCAAGCGGACCUCAUAAAGUGCGUCGUAGUCCGGAUCGGAGUCUGCAACUCGACUCCGUGAAGUCGGAAUCGCUAGUAAUCGUGGAUCAGAAUGCCACGGUGAAUACGUUCCCGGGCCUUGUACACACCGCCCGUCACACCAUGGGAGUGGGUUGCAAAAGAAGUAGGUAGCUUAACCUUCGGGAGGGCGCUUACCACUUUGUGAUUCAUGACUGGGGUGAAGUCGUAACAAGGUAC